Molecule: antisense RNA, 178 nt
Filed under: Xenococcus sp. PCC 7305
Lineage: Bacteria; Bacillati; Cyanobacteriota; Cyanophyceae; Pleurocapsales; Xenococcaceae
Description: Antisense RNA which regulates isiA expression
Rfam family: Antisense RNA which regulates isiA expression
Source: Rfam by way of RNAcentral
GAUAGCCAUAGAUAAUUAAAGGAUUGAGAGUCGGAUCGCUAAUAACUCGUACUUCUCCAAUCGUAGGAUCGUAUAAGCCACCAAAAAACAUCGCUUUAGCAACCAAUAAAAAUGCGCCUAAACCUAAUAAACCGAGGUGAAUCCCGAUAAUAUUGGUCAUUUUAUAUGUGUCUUCCCA